Molecule: ribosomal RNA, 515 nt
Filed under: Sanguibacter sp.
Lineage: Bacteria; Bacillati; Actinomycetota; Actinomycetes; Micrococcales; Sanguibacteraceae
Description: bacterial SSU rRNA
Rfam family: Bacterial small subunit ribosomal RNA
Source: RNAcentral
CAGCUUGCUCUGGUUGAUCAGUGGCGAACGGGUGAGUAACACGUGAGUAACCUGCCCUUGACUCUGGGAUAACUCCGGGAAACCGGGGCUAAUACCGGAUACGAGACGCGACCGCAUGGUCGGCGUCUGGAAAGUUUUUCGGUCAAGGAUGGACUCGCGGCCUAUCAGCUUGUUGGUGAGGUAAUGGCUCACCAAGGCGUCGACGGGUAGCCGGCCUGAGAGGGCGACCGGCCACACUGGGACUGAGACACGGCCCAGACUCCUACGGGAGGCAGCAGUGGGGAAUAUUGCACAAUGGGCGAAAGCCUGAUGCAGCGACGCCGCGUGAGGGAUGAAGGCCUUCGGGUUGUAAACCUCUUUCAGUAGGGAAGAAGCGAAAGUGACGGUACCUGCAGAAGAAGCGCCGGCUAACUACGUGCCAGCAGCCGCGGUAAUACGUAGGGCGCAAGCGUUGUCCGGAAUUAUUGGGCGUAAAGAGCUCGUAGGCGGUUUGUCGCGUCUGGUGUGAAAACUCA